GAGGCGACCGCUGUGGGAGUCCGAUUAAGCCAUGCGAGUCGAGAGUCUUAGGGACUCGGCAUACCGCUCAGUAACACGUGGAUAACCUGCCCUGUGCUGGGGGAUAACCUCGCGAAAGUGAGAACAAUACCCCAUGAGUCACUACGCCUGGAACGGUGAGUGGCUGAAAGCUCCGGCGGCACAGGAUGGGUCUGCGGCGUAUCGGGUUGUAGGGGGUGUAACGGACCUCCUAGCCUUCAACGCGUACGGGUUGUGAGAGCAAUUGCCCGGAGAUGGAUUCUGAGACACGAAUCCAGGCCCUACGGGGCGCAGCAGGCGCGAAAACUUGACAAUGCGAGAAAUCGUGAUCAGGGGACUCCAGUUGGCUGGAUCAAAAGUCCAGUCUGAACCGACUUUAAAUCGGUCGGGUAAUAGGGGCGGGAAAGACCGGUGCCAGCCGCCGCGGUAAUACCGGCGCCCCAAGUGGUCGUCACUAUUAUUGGGCCUAAAACGUCCGUAGCCGGUUUGGUAAAUCCGUGGGUAAAUCAGACAGCCCAACUGUCUGAAUUCUGCGGGGACUGCCAGACUUGAGACCGGGAGAGGUACGGGGUACCUCCGGGGUAGCGGUAAAAUGCGAUCAUCCCGGAGGGACCACCUGUUGCGAAGGCGCCGUACUAGAACGGAUCUGACGGUCAGGGACGAAGCCUAGGGGCACGAACCGGAUUAGAUACCCGGGUAGUCCUAGGUGUAAACGCUGUGGACUUGGUGUCGGGGACUCUCAGCGAGUUCUCGGUGCCGGAGUGAAGAUGUUAAGUCCACUGCCUGGGGAGUACGGUCGCAAGGCUGAAACUUAAAGGAAUUGGCGGGGGGAGCACCGCAACGAGAGGAGCGUGCGGUUUAAUUGGAGUCAACGC
Molecule: ribosomal RNA, 893 nt
Filed under: uncultured Candidatus Poseidoniales archaeon
Lineage: Archaea; Methanobacteriati; Thermoplasmatota; Candidatus Poseidoniia; Candidatus Poseidoniales
Description: bacterial SSU rRNA
Rfam family: Archaeal small subunit ribosomal RNA
Source: RNAcentral